Long non-coding RNA from Penaeus monodon (black tiger shrimp), 177 nucleotides. RefSeq lists it as uncharacterized. NCBI's taxonomy places the organism in Eukaryota, Metazoa, Arthropoda, Malacostraca, Decapoda, Penaeidae. The transcript has 2 exons. The record is from RefSeq and is a predicted model, not a curated record.
CAGGACUUUGAUGUGAAGGCAGAAAUUGAUGAAGACUUUGAUGAAAUAGAAAAUAAAUUAGAAAUAAAAGAGGAACCAGUAGAGUAUCAUGACUCGGAAUACAGUAUCAGAUUUGAAGAAAGUGUUGGCAGAGUUGAGGAUUCAAAAGACUUCAUAAAUGUUUCAAACCUUUGUCAG